GCUCGAGUGGCGAACGGGUGAGUAACACGUGAGUAACCUGCCCUCGACUUUGGGAUAACUUCAGGAAACUGGGGCUAAUACCGGAUAGGAGCUCCUGCUGCAUGGUGGGGGUUGGAAAGUUUCGGCGGUUGGGGAUGGACUCGCGGCUUAUCAGCUUGUUGGUGGGGUAGUGGCUUACCAAGGCUUUGACGGGUAGCCGGCCUGAGAGGGUGACCGGCCACAUUGGGACUGAGAUACGGCCCAG
RNAcentral lists this ribosomal RNA (244 nucleotides) under uncultured Actinomycetales bacterium. Its description in RNAcentral is "partial 16S ribosomal RNA". It matches the Rfam family "Bacterial small subunit ribosomal RNA", at positions 89 to 334 of the family's 1533-position model. The record is from RNAcentral. Lineage: Bacteria; Bacillati; Actinomycetota; Actinomycetes; Actinomycetales.